This 435-nucleotide long non-coding RNA is filed under the name Trifolium pratense (red clover). Its description in RNAcentral is "long non-coding RNA (TPRA_LNC010697)". Lineage: Eukaryota; Viridiplantae; Streptophyta; Magnoliopsida; Fabales; Fabaceae. The record is from RNAcentral.
UCAUGUUGUUGUCAUUCUAUAAUGUUUGAAACUUACAUGGCUUUUAAUUUUUUCAUCAGUGUUAUCCUCAUUCCGCACCUUUAUCAUUCAACAACAAUAUUUUCAUAUAUAUCCUCAAAUGGAUGAAGUACCAAAUCGUGCUACCAUAUUUGCGGUAAUUGUUUCUAUCCCUUUAAAUUUCAUAUAUAUAUGCAUGUAAUUUAAUUUUGAUUUUAUUUGUCCCUGAAUUUUAUACCAUUUUUAUUUGAAUUGAGAAAUAUAUGUCAAAUUAUUGUGCUUUAUUGUUGUUAACAUUUCCAUUUUGUUGAGCAAAAAACAUGAACAAUUUUGCUCCAUUAGGAGAUAUGGUAUAAAAUCAACAAUAAAAUAAAAUGGAUCAUGUACAUUUGAGAAUAAUUUUGCUCCGUUUGUAAAUUUUUGCAUGCCUGAAAAAAC